Molecule: long non-coding RNA, 2441 nt
Organism: Fukomys damarensis (Damara mole-rat)
Lineage: Eukaryota; Metazoa; Chordata; Mammalia; Rodentia; Bathyergidae
Source: Ensembl
AUGUCUACGACCGCCUGUGUUCAGCGUGCUCGGAAGGAGCUCAACUUACCCAUCUUCUCCCAAGGGUUCUGCCAGCCUGAGACUCUGGAGCAUGAUGACAGUGCCAGUGUGGCUCCUGCCUUUGAUCCCGAGCCGGUCACCGCCCACUGCUUCAAGCAGUUCAAGCAGGAGGACUUCUGCCUGCUGCAGAGCCGCCGGCGGGUCCUCAUCGUGCCUGCCCAGCAGGGGCAGCCAGCCAUGGAUCCCAAGCCCCGGCCUCCACCACUCCCACCAUGGGCCCCCAGUGUCAGAGUCCUGGGUGCUGGGGACAUCCCCGAGCAGAGGGAGGACAGGGCGUCCUGGCUGCACCAGAGGGCAAAGCUGCGGAAGGAGCUGGAGGCCCUGGGGGACAUGACGCGGUGGCUGGAGAACAAGCCCAGCAUCACCCCCUCGGAGGCCAAGAUCCUGCGCAUGCUCCACGAGGAGCAGAAGGCCCAGCUCAUGGGGGAGGUGACCAUCACCACAGCCACCAAGAAAAGAGCCCCCCGACGAGUGGUGCCCCAGCUACGGCUGCCCAAGCCACCGGCCCUGUCAGCCCUGUACACCUACCUGCGCAGCCGCAAGAUCCAGGUGCUGGAGCUGUUUGCCAAGGGCCUGGGCACACAGCAGAGAGUCCCCCGGGAGGAGUUCCUCACUGCGCUGAGGAUGGUUGGGGUCCCCCUGAAGGAGCAGGAGAUGGAGGACGUGGUGAUCUACCUGAGCUCCCUCGGGAAGCACCGCGACAUCACCAUGGAGACCCUGGCCAGUACCUACAAGCAGUGGUCUCUGGCCCAGCUGAGGAGCACGACGGUGCCCACGCUGCACAAGUGCUUUGGCCCGGCCCAGGUCACGACAACCCCGCAGCCCUGCAGGAAGCACCUGCUCAUGGUGCCCGAGGUCCCUGUGCCUACGGAGGCGCGGCCCCUGACGCUGGAGGAGAUGGAGGAUGUGGGCAAGCACUACCGCGAGCGCAGGCGGCAGCAGAAGGUGCUGGGCAGGCCUACAGGAGGGGCUGCAUCCGUGUCACAAAGACGCCCAGCCCCACAAGGGUCUGGGACAUGGAAAUGGACUGGACUCAGAAAGUGCUGAAAGACCCCCCACAUUCUUUAAUUAGAACUUUUCUUUUUUUUGGUACUGGGGAUCAAACUCUGAUCCUUGAGCUUGUGAGGCAGGUGGCGGAACCACUGAGCUAAAUUCCCAGACUUUUUCUUUUCUUUCUUUUUUUUGUUUUUGUUUUUUUCUUUUUGCUUUUUGAGACAGGGUGUCAUUAUGCAGUUAGUUCAGGCUGGCCUUGGAUUUACUAUGUGGCCCAAGCUGACUCAAACUUAAGGCAAUCCUCCUGCUUCAGCCUCCCCAGUGCUGGGAUGACGGACAUGCACCACCUUGUCUAGGUGCCGCUCUUUAAUUAGGACUUUUCAUCUUGAGACCAGGGUUGUACCUUUGUCAUAGCUUGAGCCUGGCACCUGGCUCCAGAGUGCACAGACUGCAGACAGUUGGGCUGGCUCAGUGGCACGCAUAAGGCCCCGGUUUGCCCUGCACUGUGCUGCACCACACAAAACAAAACAAAACAUCAGGUUUUUGUUUGUUUGUUUGGGUUUUUUUGGUGCCGGCCACUGAACCGCUGAGCUAAAUCCCCAGCCAAAACAACAGGUUUUGCAGGCCACCUGGUCUCUGUCACAGGUGCUGGGCUCUGCUGCCAGGGACCCCACAUACACACAGCUUCGAGCCCGUGGUCCCAUACGUCUUGACUUAGGAAAGUGCAUGCCAGGCUGGAUUUGACCUAUGGGGUAUACAUUGCUGAUUCUGUUGUGAGAAGUUUUAAAAUAGAUUUUUUUUUUCCUUGUUUAAAGAAAAAUCAUGCUGGUCAUUGUGGCCCAUGCCUGUAAUCUCAGCACUUCCGAGUCUGAGUCAGGUGGAUUGCUGUGAGCUGGAGGCCAGCCUGAAGUACGGAGCAAGACCAUACCUCAAAAAACCAAAAUAAAAUAAAACAGCCAGUUGUGGUACCAUGUAUCUGUGAUUCCAGCUACUUGAGAGGCUGAGGCAGGAGGAUCUUAGUGAUUGUCUGAAAUGCAAAAACAGAAAAGCCUAGGGUAUAGCUCUGUGGGAGAGAGCCUGGGAUUCCAUCCCCAGCACCACAAAAAAGGGGAAGAAGGAGGGGAGGCAGCAAAGGCCCAGGAGACCUCAGCAGCCCCUGCCCGUGUCUCUUCAGCUCCCCAUCCCCUCCAUCCAGUACACAGAGAGCUGCCGCAUGGUGCGCAGUGGGGACCAGCGCGUGGACCAGCACUGCCUGCCAUCCACAGUGGUGGGUGAGAGCCGGGAGCUGCUGGAUGCAGCCCGCAUGGAUGGCUUCCUGCUCUACAUGCGCUGUGGGCAGCAGUGUGUGGCCCCAGGCCUGCCAGUGACCAAGGAUGUCCUCACCCGUG